Non-coding RNA from Styela clava, 390 nucleotides. The record is from RefSeq and is a predicted model, not a curated record. NCBI's taxonomy places the organism in Eukaryota, Metazoa, Chordata, Ascidiacea, Stolidobranchia, Styelidae.
UUAUGUAUUGUUGUGUUUCCAUGUCAAUAUUAGUCAUGACUUUUGUAUGUGCAUUAAAUUCAUUUCAGCAUUGCGUUCUUUUGCUUUUUUGUAUUUAUUGUAUAUCUUUCGAGUGCAUUUAUUUGAACGUCAAUCAUAAGGAUGUAGAUCAAGUCUUGCUCGCUGGUCAAAUGUGUUACUGAAAAUCAAGGAAAGCAGUGAAAGGAAACCUUCCAAAAUAUGAUAUUGAUACGGCUAUGUUCGAGUGGCGAUUGCGUGAUGUAAAUGGAAAGGACUUUUACGAAGAAAGAAGAUAUUGUUACUUAUGAUGCUGGACUAAUGACUGAUUUGAAGUAAAUAGAUAGGAUACGACUGUGCAUAUCGUGGAGAGGCGAAGAAUCUUUUCAUCAC